ACUCAAAGGAAUAGACGGGGACCCGCACAAGCGGUGGAUGAUGUGGAUUAAUUCGAUGCAACGCGAAAAACCUUACCUACCCUUGACAUGUCAGGAAGUCUGCUGAGAGGUGGAUGUGCCCGAAAGGGAACCUGAACACAGGUGCUGCAUGGCUGUCGUCAGCUCGUGUCGUGAGAUGUUGGGUUAAGUCCCGCAACGAGCGCAACCCUUGUCAUUAAUUGCCAUCAUUCAGUUGGGCACUUUAAUGAGACUGCCGGUGACAAACCGGAGGAAGGUGGGGAUGACGUCAAGUCCUCAUGGCCCUUAUGGGUAGGGCUUCACACGUCAUACAAUGGUCGGUACAGAGGGUCGCCAACCCGCGAGGGGGAGCCAAUCCCACAAAGCCGAUCGUAGUCCGGAUCGCAGUCUGCAACUCGACUGCGUGAAGUCGGAAUCGCUAGUAAUCGUGGAUCAGCAUGUCACGGUGAAUACGUUCCCGGGUCUUGUACACACCGCCCGU
This 499-nucleotide ribosomal RNA is filed under the name uncultured bacterium. Its description in RNAcentral is "bacterial SSU rRNA". It matches the Rfam family "Bacterial small subunit ribosomal RNA", at positions 899 to 1397 of the family's 1533-position model. The record is from RNAcentral.